ACAACGGGGGUGCGAGGGCUGUCGCUGACCUUUUAAAAGGUCGUGCACGCCCGAGCGCUCUCACACAUCCAUCUCACACCUUUGUGCAUCGCCGCGUGGGUCCCCCUUUGCAGGAGGGCUCACGUUUUCACACAAAACUUGAUACAGUGUAGAAUGUUAUUUUUGCGGUCACACGCAAUCAAUACAACUUUUAACAACGGAUCUCUUGGCUCUCGCAUCGAUGAAGAACGCAGUGAAAUGCGAUACGUAAUGUGAAUUGCAGAAUUCAGUGAAUCAUCGAAUCUUUGAACGCACCUUGCGCCCCUUGGCAUUCCGAGGGGCACACCCGUUUGAGUGUCGUGAAAUCAUCAAAAACCCUUUUCUGUUUACCGAAAAGGAUUUUUGGACUUGGAGGUUUAAUGCUUGCCUUUCACUUUUGAAAGCGAGCUCCUCUCAAAUGAAUUAGUGGGGUCCGCUUUGCUGGUCCUUGACGUGAUAAGAUGUUUCUACGUUUUGNAUUUAGCACUGUCCCUUUGGAUUCCUGCUCCUAACUGUCCAACGG
RNAcentral lists this ribosomal RNA (541 nucleotides) under uncultured Russula. Its description in RNAcentral is "eukaryotic LSU rRNA". The stretch from base 186 to 339 matches the Rfam family "5.8S ribosomal RNA". The record is from RNAcentral. Lineage: Eukaryota; Fungi; Basidiomycota; Agaricomycetes; Russulales; Russulaceae.